Molecule: ribosomal RNA, 495 nt
Filed under: uncultured bacterium
Lineage: Bacteria
Description: partial 16S ribosomal RNA
Rfam family: Bacterial small subunit ribosomal RNA
Source: RNAcentral
GAUGAACGCUGGCGGCGUGCCUAAUACAUGCAAGUAGAACGCUGAAGGAGGAGCUUGCUCUUCUGGAUGAGUUGCGAACGGGUGAGUAACGCGUAGGUAACCUGCCUGGUAGCGGGGGAUAACUAUUGGAAACGAUAGCUAAUACCGCAUGACAACAGUUAUUGCAUGAUAACUGUUUAAAAGGGGCAACUGCUCCACUACCAGAUGGACCUGCGUUGUAUUAGCUAGUUGGUGAGGUAACGGCUCACCAAGGCGACGAUACAUAGCCGACCUGAGAGGGUGAUCGGCCACACUGGGACUGAGACACGGCCCAGACUCCUACGCGAGGCAGCAGUAGGGAAUCUUCGGCAAUGGUCGGAAGUCUGACCGAGCAACGCCGCGUGAGUGAAGAAGGUUUUCGGAUCGUAAAGCUCUGUUGUAAGAGAAGAACGAGUGUGAGAGUGGAAAGUUCACACUGUGACGGUAUCUUACCAGAAAGGGACGGCUAACUACGUG